CGGUGGAAUGUGAAAAAACUGAUCACUCUUGUCCAUGAAAGGCCCGAGCUGUGGGACAUACGGUCCCCUGUGUAUCUGGACCGUGUGCGCAAGGAAGUAUCGUGGGAGAAAGUCGCCCGUCGCUUGAGGCCGAGCAAAUGAGAUAAAGCGGAUCACCGAGGUUGUGCAGAAUUAGUUAAAAACCCAAGAUGAGGUGGAAUAGCUGCAGGGACCAGUUUCGGAGGGAGCUAAACGAAAAGAGCCGCAGUGGGGAUGGUGCAUCCAAGAAGCGCCCAUAUAUAUAUAUUGAUCAACUUAGUUUUCUACGCCCUGUGAUGGAGUUGAGGCCUACUAUGGACAAUUUGGAAGAGACGGAAGAAUCGGAUUUGGGUGGUGAAGAAACCCCUGCCGUUUUUUCACCAGAAUCCAGCCCACAACACCAGCAGUGGAGGCCACAGAACCGCCCAUGGCAACUAGCGCUGGGGAACAAGAAAGGCCACAAACAUCACAGCAACCUAGGAGAAGGUGGAAUGUCCGCCAGUCUUCCUCUGAGCUAGCAACUCGGGAAAUGAUAGAUGCCCGAGUUAUCGAGUUCCUAGCUCAGAGGAGGACUGAUGGGCAAGAAGAAGCAAUGUUGAGGGGGCUUGCACCACUUAUGAGGCAUGUCCCGAGAAAGAGCCAUCAUCAUUGUGUUGCCUCCCUUGCGCUAGUGUUAAAAAUGUAUUCUACCCCGUACCAGGGAGACAUACAUUUGGAGAUUACCAAGUUGCUACAGAAAAUAAUGAUGUCUGCCUCUCAGCAGCCUACCAGCUUCCAGCAGCCUACAUAUCCACCCCAUGGUCCACCUUUGGCAGGACCAACUUUCCGUGGGUCCCAAGACUGCAACUUCCCCUCCUUGCCCAGUCCAUUAAUGUGGGCAUGUAUUCUUCUGGGGCACCA
Bufo bufo (common toad) is the source of this 918-nucleotide long non-coding RNA. RefSeq lists it as uncharacterized. The record is from RefSeq and is a predicted model, not a curated record. The transcript has 3 exons. NCBI's taxonomy places the organism in Eukaryota, Metazoa, Chordata, Amphibia, Anura, Bufonidae.